AUCACUCACCGAGCCCGUGGACAUCCUGUUGUCCCCCUCGCCCACACGCGUCCGCUUUCCUCCCCCCUGGCCAGUCUCGCUGUCUCCGCCUUCCGCUCCCUGGCGGAGGCGGAGGCCAGGGAGCGCUCCGAGGAAGACUAAAAACCCAGGCCAGGAAGCGCAGGGUGCGAAAGCGAGGUGGGCGGUGAGAGCGAGCGCGCCCCUCGGCUGUCCCCCGGGAGCGUGGACCACAAGUUGGCGUCCAAGUCCAGAAAUCCGCGCGCACAGCGGAAAAUAUUUGCCGUGCCUGCAGCGUCCAAGGAUCAGUUGGGGCCAAUGUAAAGCCAGUAUUAUAGGAUACUUCUCAGACUGACAGCCCAAUGUCACUGGAAACCACUGGGCCACAGGAAAGGCAGGAAGAAAUUUUACGACAUGUUUGAAGACUCACCUCUUUAUCUAUGGCAGUCUCAGGCUGAAAUCUGCCAAGUUUAUGUCCAGUGAUGUGAGACACUUCACCUGGCCUACAAUUUUUAAUUAUGAAUUGUACCUCAAUAAUGUUGGGGAAAAACAAGAGAGGAGUGCCAAGAAUGAUGUCUUCAGAGAUAUGACCUGGACCACCAUGUGGGUGUGAUGCUUUGCCUUUUUAAGUGGUGUCAUUUUGAGUUAGGAGUAAGAAUGUGGUAUAAAGGAGUAGCUCAGGCUAAGAAGAAACCCAAAAAGACAUCCAAGAAUCGCUCCAAGUAGCAGCUGAAAUGCUCUAUUUUUCUUUUCUUAUCAUCUUCCUGUUGUUUCCAAGUGCUGUCUUUCUUCUACUUUUUAUACUUGUACCCAGAAUUUCCAGAUUUGUGUCUUUUUUCUUGGGUGAGCUUCCUAGAAUGAGGAUUCUGAUUCAAUUCUAAUCCAAUUCAAUGGAAAUAAAUAGAUCCAAUUCAAUACAUCGAUUUAAAGCAUUAAAAAUCUGCCCUCUUUACAGACCACACUCCCACAAGAUGCUGGCCCACCUGGCCAACAGCAGUAUAAAAGUACAGAGGAUUCACUACAUACCUUCGACUUUGGUACACACUCUCUAAACAAAUACUUUUCUUUCUGCACAGAGGUUAAUCCUCCAUUAUGAUCAACAGAUCAAGUGCUUAUAUUGCCAAAUGCUGCCUCAUUAUAAGGUUUCAUCACUAUUUUACAGUGUUGUUUUCUACUCACAAGGGUGUCUAAUCAUAUGAAAACUUUUAAACAUCAGGAAAGAUCUCUUAGCAAAUGAAAUAAAUAUUUGGGAAAACAGAUAAACUCAGAUGUGUUUGUUCCAGGAAAGCAACUAUGAUAUAAUCUCUAUCUUCAUUUGUUGAUUUUUCUUUCCUUCAGUGGACUUUAGUGCUAUCUUUUGGGAUUCUUUGAUACAUUUUCACAGCCUUAUUUCAUUUUGACUUCACAGAAAUAACUCGGGGAUCUGGUGUGUAAAGAACUAUCAUCAAAAGUGUAUAUGCUUCUUAUUAUUUUUACAUGGUGGUGAUGAACUUACCUUCAUGUAUUAACACUUCUUUUUACAGACUUUUUGUGGUGUUAUUGUAGGACUGAAAGCAUCAGCUCAAACGUUCUCCUCCUCUGCACAUACUCAUUUAGUUAGAGCAAAUUUACAUUCCAAUAAAUGACCUGACUUAUAAGCCUGCCCUUAAAAAAUAUAUAUAUAUUCAAAA
Rhinopithecus roxellana (golden snub-nosed monkey) is the source of this 1667-nucleotide long non-coding RNA. RefSeq lists it as uncharacterized. The transcript has 4 exons. Lineage: Eukaryota; Metazoa; Chordata; Mammalia; Primates; Cercopithecidae. The record is from RefSeq and is a predicted model, not a curated record.